GCAGCCGCCGCGGUAAUACAUAGGUGGCAAGCGUUGUCCGGAAUUAUUGGGCGUAAAGCGCGCGCAGGCGGAUCAGUUAGUCUGUCUUAAAAGUUCGGGGCUUAACCCCGUGAUGGGAUGGAAACUGCUGAUCUAGAGUAUCGGAGAGGAAAGUGGAAUUCCUAGUGUAGCGGUGAAAUGCGUAGAUAUUAGGAAGAACACCAGUGGCGAAGGCGACUUUCUGGACGAAAACUAACGCUGAGGCGCGAAAGCCAGGGGAGCGAACGGGAUUAGAGACCCCUGUAGUCCCUGUCUCUUAUACA
This 302-nucleotide ribosomal RNA is filed under the name uncultured bacterium. RNAcentral describes it as "partial 16S ribosomal RNA". It matches the Rfam family "Bacterial small subunit ribosomal RNA", at positions 508 to 809 of the family's 1533-position model. The record is from RNAcentral.